Molecule: long non-coding RNA, 778 nt
Filed under: Homo sapiens (human)
Lineage: Eukaryota; Metazoa; Chordata; Mammalia; Primates; Hominidae
Description: HSALNT0216779
Source: RNAcentral
UCUGAGCCCUCUCGAUGUCCUGUGCAGUGCCUUCAGGCUGGAUGUCCUCUAGGCCUCGCCUCUCCCACAGCCUGAGGGUGGCUGUGGCUUGGGGAUGUCCACUCCCCCAGUCCUCCUCUCCCACGGACAGCCCUGAGCCCUCCUGCUCCCCUGCCCUCCGUCUCCUGGCCCAGCCUCCUUGGCCCAUGGCCUUGCCCACUCUGCGUCACCCCUCACCCCUCCCUGCUUUUGCCCUCACUGUCCCCUCGGCCCGGGAUGCCCUGGCCUGCCUCAGCGGGCUCCGCUCAAGCCCAGCCCCUCUGCAAAGCUUCCCGUCCUGCUCCAGGAUUUGGGCCUGGCCCGCAUGCCCAGGGUGGUGAUGGUGGCCUUUCUCCAGGGCCUGCUGACGGGAGGAGCCCCCUCCCAGGACUGUGGGUCCUUGGAGGCAGAGAGCUCCCCCACCUCAGAAGCUGCCCGGGGUGGGGCGUGCCGCGGGCCUGCAGGUCUGUCUGCCAGAAACCCCCAGUUUCUGUGGGGUCAGCCCCGACUCCACUGGCCCUCCUUUAUUAGUGACAGUGAGGGGUCCCGCAGCCCAGAAGCCUUGGGUCCCUGACCCUGGAUUGUUAACCAGACCCCUGGCAGCUGAGCUUGGCUGGAACCCCGACAGCCUGCAGAGGGAACCAAAAUGUUUCCAGCAUGGGUGCUGAGCGCUGGCAUCAGCCAGGGUGCUUUCCACCUGGGGUUGCUGUCUCCCCAGUGGUGUCUGGGUUGCUGUCCUGGCCUCAGCUGCCAACCUGGA